This is a long non-coding RNA of Monodelphis domestica (gray short-tailed opossum), 1099 nucleotides long. RefSeq lists it as uncharacterized. NCBI's taxonomy places the organism in Eukaryota, Metazoa, Chordata, Mammalia, Didelphimorphia, Didelphidae. The record is from RefSeq and is a predicted model, not a curated record.
GUGUGUGUGUGUGUGUGUGUGUGUGUGUGUGUGUGUGUGAGUGCUCACACAGCUGUGUACCUCAUCCUCUCUUCUCUGCUGAUUUCAGCAGUCUGAGGUGGUCUCUGGGUCUCCAAGCUCUGCCCUCUCCAACCCACCAUCCACACAGCUGCCAGACUAAGAAUCUCCCCUGCUCACAAGUCCCUACUGCCUCGAGGACAAAUACCAGCCCCAAAUGCCACAGCUCUGCUCUGAACCCUGAACACAGCCUGAACCAGACACGGAUCACCUCCUUCUCCAUGUGCAGCUGUUCCGCAAUCAGCAGGAUCUCCUCUGAGGACCUCUGCUCUGGGCCGCCCACCCCACCCCAGAACCUUGGACAGUAGUCAGCGGCUCCUUUUCUAGGCUAGGGGCUGAGCCCUCUCCCCAAAACCGUGGAUAGCGGCUCUUUUCUAGGGCAGAGGCUGACCUCUCCCCAGGACCUUGGACAGCAGUCAGCGGCUCUUUUCUAAGCCAGUCUUCCUAGGACCUUGGACAGCGGGCAGCACCUCUUUUCUAAUCCAGAGGCUGAGCCCUCUCCCUAGAACCUUGGACAGCGGUCAGCAGCUCUUUUCUAAGCCAGAGGCUGAGCCCUCUCCCUAGAACCUUGGACAGCGGUCAGCAGCUCUUUUCUAAGCCAGAGGCUGAGCCCUCUCCCUAGAACCUUGGACAGCGGUCAGCAGCUCUUUUCUAAGCCAGAGGCUGAGCCCUCUCCCUAGAACCUUGGACAGCGGUCAGCAGCUCUUUUCUAAGCCAGAGGCUGAGCCCUCUCCCUAGAACCUUGGACAGCGGUCAGCAGCUCUUUUCUAAUCCAGAGGUUGAGCCCUCUCCCUAGAACCUUGGACAGCGGUCAGCAGCUCUUUUCUAAGCCAGAGGCUGAGCCCUCUCCCUAGAACCUUGGACAGCGGUCAGCAGCUCUUUUCUAAGCCAGAGGCUGAGCCCUCUCCCCAGGACCUUGGACAGCGGCUCCUUUUCUAGAGCCCCAGCUGGGACACGCACCGGCAUCGUUGAGCCAUUUUUCCAAAAGGGGCUUCAGUUUGCACAUGUUCUUAAAGCUAAGGUUGAGCGCCUCAAAGCGCGA